AACGCUAGCUACAGGCUUAACACAUGCAAGUCGAGGGGAAACGACAUCAAAAGCUUGCUUUUGAUGGGCGUCGACCGGCGCACGGGUGAGUAACGCGUAUCCAACCUGCCCAUCACUUGGGGAUAACCUUGCGAAAGUAAGACUAAUACCCAAUGAUAUCUCUAGAAGACAUCUGAAGGAGAUUAAAGAUUCAUCGGUGAUGGAUGGGGAUGCGUCUGAUUAGCUUGUUGGCGGGGUAACGGCCCACCAAGGCGACGAUCAGUAGGGGUUCUGAGAGGAAGGUCCCCCACAUUGGAACUGAGACACGGUCCAAACUCCUACGGGAGGCAGCAGUGAGGAAUAUUGGUCAAUGGGCGAGAGCCUGAACCAGCCAAGUAGCGUGCAGGAAGACGGCCCUAUGGGUUGUAAACUGCUUUUAUAAGGGAAUAAAGUGAGCCUCGUGAGGCUUUUUGCAUGUACCUUAUGAAUAAGGACCGGCUAAUUCCGUGCCAGCAGCCGCGGUAAUACGGAAGGUCCGGGCGUUAUCCGGAUUUAUUGGGUUUAAAGGGAGCGUAGGCCGGAGAUUAAGCGUGUUGUGAAAUGUAGAUGCUCAACAUCUGCACUGCAGCGCGAACUGGUUUCCUUGAGUACGCACAAAGUGGGCGGAAUUCGUGGUGUAGCGGUGAAAUGCUUAGAUAUCACGAAGAACUCCGAUUG
This 696-nucleotide ribosomal RNA is filed under the name uncultured bacterium. RNAcentral's name for it is "bacterial SSU rRNA". It matches the Rfam family "Bacterial small subunit ribosomal RNA", at positions 32 to 715 of the family's 1533-position model. The record is from RNAcentral.